This 482-nucleotide ribosomal RNA is filed under the name uncultured bacterium. Its description in RNAcentral is "bacterial SSU rRNA". It matches the Rfam family "Bacterial small subunit ribosomal RNA", at positions 46 to 524 of the family's 1533-position model. The record is from RNAcentral.
GCCUAACACAUGCAAGUCGAGCGCGAAAGUUCCUUCGGGGAUGAGUAAAGCGGCGGACGGGUGAGUAACGCGUAGGAAUUUGCCCAGUAGUGGGGGACAACUCGGGGAAACUCGAGCUAAUACCGCAUACGCCCCACGGGGGAAAGCAGGGGAUCUUCGGACCUUGCGCUAUUGGAUAAGCCUGCGUCGGAUUAGCUAGUUGGUAGGGUAAAGGCCUACCAAGGCGACGAUCCGUAGCUGGUCUGAGAGGAUGAUCAGCCACACUGGGACUGAGACACGGCCCAGACUCCUACGGGAGGCAGCAGUGGGGAAUAUUGGACAAUGGGGGCAACCCUGAUCCAGCCAUGCCGCGUGUGUGAAGAAGGCCCUAGGGUUGUAAAGCACUUUCAGUGGGGAGGAAAAGCUGACGGCUAAUACCCGUCGGCCAUGACGCUACCCACAGAAGAAGCACCGGCUAACUCCGUGCCAGCAGCCGCGGUAAU